This 89-nucleotide non-coding RNA is filed under the name Mycoplasmatota bacterium. RNAcentral describes it as "Tenericutes bacterium c-di-GMP sequence". It matches the Rfam family "c-di-GMP-I riboswitch aptamer". From Rfam's summary of the family: GEMM was predicted in a large-scale screen for bacterial structured RNA regulatory elements. The record is from RNAcentral. Lineage: Bacteria; Bacillati; Mycoplasmatota.
UUAUUUUAUUGACACACUCAUAGAAAUAUGGGGUCGUUUGAACUAUUAGGGUCUAAAGGAUAAAUCCAAUGAUAGCCAGAGUUUUCUUU